Long non-coding RNA from Xyrauchen texanus (razorback sucker), 715 nucleotides. RefSeq lists it as uncharacterized. The transcript has 6 exons. The record is from RefSeq and is a predicted model, not a curated record. NCBI's taxonomy places the organism in Eukaryota, Metazoa, Chordata, Actinopteri, Cypriniformes, Catostomidae.
CAGCCAACAUCCAGAGAAGAAGAAAAAAAAACAUAAGCCAUAUAUGCGCAACUAAAGGCUCUUUUAAGAGCCAUCAUCAUUGCAUGACAGAUAGGACGUCUUUUCCGUCUUUUAGAUUGGAUGUCUCGUCUAUCUAUUGCAUAGCUGUUAAUCCAGGCUGUGUUCCGGUCCAAUUCGCUCUCUCUGGUGAAGCUCACCAUUAGAUUGGACAUCUUGUCCAUCUAGCUUGCUAACGCACCUCAAAAAAAUGAGCCAGAAAACCAAAACUUUGGAACCAAUAACCAAACCCAAACUUUGGAACCAAUAACCAAACCCAAACUUUGGAACCAAUAACCAAACCCAAACUUUGAACCCUAUAACCACCCAAAAAUAAAUAUUUGAUUUACAGUGCCCGAAAGCCUGAAAGAGGGACCAGCUCCAGUCUGCCCUGCUGCCUUCAUGAUCUGAGGACUACGUUGGAAAAUCAACAUCCAAACACACACACACACACAGUCAUUUGUUUGAUAACCAACUGUUUAGCUUUACAUUACAUAGUGUUCAUUGUCUAUAGUCUUGUAUAUCACAUAUUUAACUUUAUUUAGCUUUUGUAUAAUUGACUGCUUUGAAUCAGCUCUUAUUAUUUAAAGUGCAGUUGCUGUUCAGUAAGUUCAGUCUUGUAACAUCUAUAUUGUAUAGUUGAUUUCACAAUCUUUUGGGUGUCAUUUUAUAAAGCAGU